GAUGAACGCUGGCGGCGUGCCUAAUACAUGCAAGUCGAGCGAACGGACGAGGAGCUUGCUCCUCUGACGUUAGCGGCGGACGGGUGAGUAACAAGUGGAUAACCUACCUAUAAGACUGGGAUAACUUCGGGAGACAGGAGCUAAUACCGGAUAAUAUAUUGAACCGCAUGGUUCAGUAGUGCAAGACAGUUUUGCUGUCCCAUUUAGAUGGAUCCGCGCCGCAUUAGCUAGUUGGUAAGGUAACGGCUUACCAAGGCGACGAUGCGUAGCCGACCUGAGAGGAUGAACGGCCACACUGGAACUGAGACACGGUCCAGACUCCUACGGGAGGCAGCAGUAGGGAAUCUUCCGCAAUGGGCGAAAGCCUGACGGAGCAACGCCGCGUGAGUGAUGAAGGUCUUCGGAUCGUAAAACUCUUUUAUUAGGAAAGAACAAAUGUGUAUGUAACUAUGCACGUCUUGACGGUACCUAAACAGAAAGCCACGGCUAACUUCGUG
Molecule: ribosomal RNA, 497 nt
Filed under: uncultured bacterium
Lineage: Bacteria
Description: partial 16S ribosomal RNA
Rfam family: Bacterial small subunit ribosomal RNA
Source: RNAcentral